UACGAAGGGUGCUAGCGUUGCUCGGAAUGACUGGGCGUAAAGGGCGCGUAGGCGGACGGCACAGUCAGGCGUGAAAUUCCUGGGCUCAACCUGGGGACUGCGUCUGAGACGUGUUGUCUUGAGUAUGGAAGAGGGUUGUGGAAUUUCCAGUGUAGAGGUGAAAUUCGUAGAUAUUGGAAAGAACACCGGUGGCGAAGGCGGCAACCUGUUCCAUUACUGACGCUGAGGCGCGAAAGCGUGAGGAGCAAACAGG
Molecule: ribosomal RNA, 253 nt
Filed under: uncultured bacterium
Lineage: Bacteria
Description: partial 16S ribosomal RNA
Rfam family: Bacterial small subunit ribosomal RNA
Source: RNAcentral